This 1398-nucleotide ribosomal RNA is filed under the name Bacillus sp. 7CCIP2_Non diabetic. RNAcentral's name for it is "bacterial SSU rRNA". It matches the Rfam family "Bacterial small subunit ribosomal RNA". The record is from RNAcentral. Lineage: Bacteria; Bacillati; Bacillota; Bacilli; Caryophanales; Bacillaceae.
UGCAAGUCGAACGGCAGCGCGAGAGAGCUUGCUCUCUUGGCGGCGAGUGGCGGACGGGUGAGUAAUAUAUCGGAACGUGCCCAGUAGCGGGGGAUAACUACUCGAAAGAGUGGCUAAUACCGCAUACGCCCUACGGGGGAAAGGGGGGGAUCGCAAGACCUCUCACUAUUGGAGCGGCCGAUAUCGGAUUAGCUAGUUGGUGGGGUAAAGGCUCACCAAGGCAACGAUCCGUAGCUGGUUUGAGAGGACGACCAGCCACACUGGGACUGAGACACGGCCCAGACUCCUACGGGAGGCAGCAGUGGGGAAUUUUGGACAAUGGGGGAAACCCUGAUCCAGCCAUCCCGCGUGUAUGAUGAAGGCCUUCGGGUUGUAAAGUACUUUUGGCAGAGAAGAAAAGGUACCUCCUAAUACGAGGUACUGCUGACGGUAUCUGCAGAAUAAGCACCGGCUAACUACGUGCCAGCAGCCGCGGUAAUACGUAGGGUGCAAGCGUUAAUCGGAAUUACUGGGCGUAAAGCGUGUGUAGGCGGUUCGGAAAGAAAGAUGUGAAAUCCCAGGGCUCAACCUUGGAACUGCAUUUUUAACUGCCGAGCUAGAGUAUGUCAGAGGGGGGUAGAAUUCCACGUGUAGCAGUGAAAUGCGUAGAUAUGUGGAGGAAUACCGAUGGCGAAGGCAGCCCCCUGGGAUAAUACUGACGCUCAGACAMGAAAGCGUGGGGAGCAAACAGGAUUAGAUACCCUGGUAGUCCACGCCCUAAACGAUGUCAACUAGCUGUUGGGGCCGUUAGGCCUUAGUAGCGCAGCUAACGCGUGAAGUUGACCGCCUGGGGAGUACSGUCGCAAGAUUAAAACUCAAAGGAAUUGACGGGGACCCGCACAAGCGGUGGAUGAUGUGGAUUAAUUCGAUGCAACGCGAAAAACCUUACCUACSCUUGACAUGUCUGGAAAGCCGAAGAGAUUUGGCCGUGCUCGYAAGAGAACCGGAACACAGSUGCUGCAUGGCUGUCGUCAGCUCGUGUCGUGARAUGUUGGGUUAAGUCCCGCAACGAGCGCAACCCUUGUCAUUAGUUGCUACGCAAGAGCACUCUAAUGAGACUGCCGGUGACAAACCGGAGGAAGGUGGGGAUGACGUCAAGUCCUCAUGGCCCUUAUGGGUAGGGCUUCACACGUCAUACAAUGGUCGGGACAGAGGGUCGCCAACCCGCGAGGGGGAGCCAAUCUCAGAAACCCGAUCGUAGUCCGGAUCGCAGUCUGCAACUCGACUGCGUGAAGUCGGAAUCGCUAGUAAUCGCGGAUCAGAAUGUCGCGGUGAAUACGUUCCCGGGUCUUGUACACACCGCCCGUCACACCAUGGGAGUGGGUUUCACCAGAAGUAGGUAGCCUAACCGUAAGGAGG